CAGCUUGAUUAUUACCGCUUGCGAGCGCG
Molecule: small RNA, 29 nt
Filed under: Bombyx mori (domestic silkworm)
Lineage: Eukaryota; Metazoa; Arthropoda; Insecta; Lepidoptera; Bombycidae
Description: ovarian small RNA-13269
Source: RNAcentral